CCUACGGGAGGCUGCAGUGAGGAAUAUUGGUCAAUGGACGAGAGUCUGAACCAGCCAAGUAGCGUGAAGGAUGACUGCCCUAUGGGUUGUAAACUUCUUUUAUAUGGGAAUAAAAUGUUCCACGUGUGGGCUUUUGUAUGUACCCUAUGAAUAAGGAUCGGCUAACUCCGUUCCAGCAGCCGCGGUAAUACGGAGGAUCCGAGCGUUAUCCGGAUUUAUUGGGUUUAAAGGGAGCGUAGGUGGAUUGUUAAGUCAGUUGUGAAAGUUUGCGGCGCAACCGUAAAAUUGCAGUUGAAACUGGGAGUCUUGAGUACAGUAGAGGCGGGCGGAAUGCGUGGUGUAGCGGUGAAAUGCUUAGAUAUCACGAAGAACCCCGAUUGCGAAGGCAGCUCACUGGACUGCAACUGACACUGAGGCUCGAAAGCGUGGGUAUCAAACAGGAUUAGAUACCCGAGUAGUC
RNAcentral lists this ribosomal RNA (460 nucleotides) under uncultured bacterium. RNAcentral describes it as "partial 16S ribosomal RNA". It matches the Rfam family "Bacterial small subunit ribosomal RNA", at positions 338 to 795 of the family's 1533-position model. The record is from RNAcentral.